GCGCAGCAGUCGCGAAUACUUUACAAUGUGCGAAAGCACGAUAAGGGAACUCUGAGUGCCUCCUAAGGAGGCUGUUCAGGUGUCUAAAAGCACCUGAAGGAAGGGCUGGGUAAGACCGGUGCCAGCCGCCGCGGUAACACCGGCAGCCCAAGUGGUAGCCACGUUUAUUGGGUCUAAAGCGUCCGUAGCCGGCUGGGUAAGUUCCUUGGGAAAUUUGGCUGCUUAACAGUCAAGCUUUCAGGGAAUACUGCCCGGCUUGGGACCGGGAGAGGUCAGAGGUACUCCAGGGGUAGGGGUGAAAUCCAUUAAUCCUUGGGGGACCACCGGUAGCGAAGGCGUCUGACCAGACCGGGUCCGACGGUGAGGGACGAAGGCUAGGGGCGCGAACCGGAUUAGAUA
RNAcentral lists this ribosomal RNA (399 nucleotides) under uncultured microorganism. Its description in RNAcentral is "bacterial SSU rRNA". It matches the Rfam family "Archaeal small subunit ribosomal RNA", at positions 330 to 735 of the family's 1478-position model. The record is from RNAcentral.